This 495-nucleotide ribosomal RNA is filed under the name uncultured bacterium. Its description in RNAcentral is "partial 16S ribosomal RNA". It matches the Rfam family "Bacterial small subunit ribosomal RNA", at positions 28 to 507 of the family's 1533-position model. The record is from RNAcentral.
GACGAACGCUGGCGGCGUGCCUAAUACAUGCAAGUAGAACGCUGAAGGAGGAGCUUGCUUCUCUGGAUGAGUUGCGAACGGGUGAGUAACGCGUAGGUAACCUGCCUGGUAGCGGGGGAUAACUAUUGGAAACGAUAGCUAAUACCGCAUAAUAGUAGAUGUUGCAUGACAUUUGCUUAAAAGGUGCAAUUGCAUCACUACCAGAUGGACCUGCGUUGUAUUAGCUAGUUGGUGGGGUAACGGCUCACCAAGGCGACGAUACAUAGCCGACCUGAGAGGGUGAUCGGCCACACUGGGACUGAGACACGGCCCAGACUCCUACGGGAGGCAGCAGUAGGGAAUCUGCGGCAAUGGACGGAAGUCUGACCGAGCAACGCCGCGUGAGUGAAGAAGGUUGUCGGAUCGGAAAGCUCUGUUGUAAGAGAAGAACGAGUGUGAGAGUGGAAAGUUCACACUGUGACGGUAUCUUACCAGAAAGGGACGGCUAACUACGUG